UUAUGGGUAAAGUACAAAAAACUACCUCAACUAUUAGUGUCACGACACUUUCAUACCUCAUCUUUUAAAAUUGACAAUGUCAUACCUCAUUUUACGAAUUUAUGCCAAUGUCAGACCUCCGUCAGUUUUUCUGUUACUUUCUAUUAAAUGCUGACGUGGCCAGAGACAAGACCCAAAACCUAACCUCUCUCCCUCCCUUCUCUCUCUCUCUCGCCU
Molecule: long non-coding RNA, 216 nt
Filed under: Malus domestica (apple)
Lineage: Eukaryota; Viridiplantae; Streptophyta; Magnoliopsida; Rosales; Rosaceae
Description: long non-coding RNA (MDOM_LNC002049)
Source: RNAcentral